GGCCGGAUAGGCAAACACCGCUUACAGCAUACGGGGAAGACACCACCCACGGCAGAGCGACGGGGCAGGAGCACUGCCCUCAGGGGAACACAAAGAAUUGGCGUCGGCGGCGCGGCGGCUCAGCUCUGCCCGGGGAAGGCAGCGCGGGCUGUAUGCCUCCCGCAUCCCGCCUGCCGUCCCGCCACAGCCGCUGCCUGGCCCUUCCCGCCCCACAGCCGCACGGCCGCCCCGCGCGGGGCCGCCCACGCCCACGGCCCGCCCCCGCCGGCUCCUGAGCGAGCACUUCCUGCCCACGCCCAGGGAGUCCGCAGCGCACACACACCCCUCCGCGCCCGAUGGUUCCUGCCCGGCCCCGGCGUUCCCCCCUCCCGGCCCCCGGGAGGAUGGUUCCUGCCCGGGCCCAUCAUCUCAGCCCUUCCCAACAGUCGCCUCCCUCCCCUCCGCGAAAAUACUCGGCCCACAAUAUGGCGGCUGACAAAACAGCUCCAGCGGCGCCUCCCCCAGAGCGCCGCGCUCCGCUUCCCCCCGCGCCGCCUCGCCCACGGCCGCUCGCCCUCCGCGCCGUCCCCCUGCGCCGGGCCCAGCCCCCGCUGCCCUUCCUCCCUUUCCCCCCCGCCUCCGGACCGACCGGCCGGCUCGGCCGCCACGCCGCCCGCCCGGCUUCACUCACGUUUUGGGAGCCGCGGAGCGCGGCUGACAGACCUCCCGCUCCGCCUCUGCGGCCGACGCUGCGGCCGGUCUAAUGGCGGCGGUCCCGCCGGCGCUGCUGCCGCCUGCUCCCGCGUCCGGCGGCCGCGGGCGGGCGAGCGGGCGCUGAAGGGGCCGCGCUGCCCGCGGCGGCGGGUACCCGGCGCUGGGUACGGGGCUGCUGCCGCCGCCGGGCACAGCGCAUUCGUGAGGCGCGGCGCAGGUCGCGGUCCGGCUGCGGGCUCGCCGCUCGGCUCCCCGGGCUCGGCAGCUCCCCUCCCCCCUCGGCACAAACAAUGCGGCUUCACCACAGCGCUGCGCCGACGGGGGGGGAGGGAGAGGGAAGGGACGUGA
Molecule: long non-coding RNA, 1041 nt
Filed under: Pavo cristatus (Indian peafowl)
Lineage: Eukaryota; Metazoa; Chordata; Aves; Galliformes; Phasianidae
Description: lncRNA (ENSPSTG00000011916.1)
Source: RNAcentral